RNAcentral lists this ribosomal RNA (459 nucleotides) under uncultured bacterium. RNAcentral's name for it is "partial 16S ribosomal RNA". It matches the Rfam family "Bacterial small subunit ribosomal RNA", at positions 338 to 795 of the family's 1533-position model. The record is from RNAcentral.
CCUACGGGCGGCAGCAGUGAGGAAUAUUGGUCAAUGGCCGGAAGCCUGAACCAGCCAAGCCGCGUGAAGGACGAAGGUGCCAAGCAUUGUAAACUUCUUUUGUCAAGGAACAAAAUCCGGCUCGCGAGCCUGACCGCGGGUACUUUAAGAAAAAGCAUCGGCUAACUCCGUGCCAGCAGCCGCGGUAAUCCGGAGGAUGCGAGCGUUAUCCGGGUUUAUUGGGUUUAAAGGGUGCGUAGGCGGGCUGUUAAGUCCGCGGUAAAAGCCCGGGGCUCAACCCCGGCGAGCCGUUGAAACUGGCGGUCUGGAGAGGGCGAGAGGUAGGCGGAAUGCGCAGUGUAGCGGUGAAAUGCUUAGAUAUUGCGCAGAACUCCGAUUGCGAAGGCAGCAUACCGGAGGCGAUCUGACGCUGAGGCACGAAAGCGUGGGUAUCGAACAGGAUUAGAUACCCUGGUAGUC